CUGAACCUAUACCAUCCCGAUCCUAUCUGACCUCUUCUGAUCUAGGAAGCUAAGCAGGGCUGGGCCUGAAUUAGUAAUUGGAUGGGACGCUGACUGAGAAUACUUUUUUGUAUUCAUA
RNAcentral lists this ribosomal RNA (118 nucleotides) under Aotus nancymaae (Ma's night monkey). Lineage: Eukaryota; Metazoa; Chordata; Mammalia; Primates; Aotidae. The record is from RNAcentral.